RNAcentral lists this ribosomal RNA (2904 nucleotides) under Salmonella enterica subsp. enterica serovar Johannesburg. RNAcentral describes it as "bacterial LSU rRNA". It matches the Rfam family "Bacterial large subunit ribosomal RNA". Lineage: Bacteria; Pseudomonadati; Pseudomonadota; Gammaproteobacteria; Enterobacterales; Enterobacteriaceae. The record is from RNAcentral.
UUAAGCGACUAAGCGUACACGGUGGAUGCCCUGGCAGUCAGAGGCGAUGAAGGACGUGCUAAUCUGCGAUAAGCGCCGGUAAGGUGAUAUGAACCGUUAUAACCGGCGAUUUCCGAAUGGGGAAACCCAGUGUGACUCGUCACACUAUCAUUAACUGAAUCCAUAGGUUAAUGAGGCGAACCGGGGGAACUGAAACAUCUAAGUACCCCGAGGAAAAGAAAUCAACCGAGAUUCCCCCAGUAGCGGCGAGCGAACGGGGAGGAGCCCAGAGCCUGAAUCAGCAUGUGUGUUAGUGGAAGCGUCUGGAAAGGCGCGCGAUACAGGGUGACAGCCCCGUACACAAAAGCGCAUGUGCUGUGAGCUCGAUGAGUAGGGCGGGACACGUGGUAUCCUGUCUGAAUAUGGGGGGACCAUCCUCCAAGGCUAAAUACUCCUGACUGACCGAUAGUGAACCAGUACCGUGAGGGAAAGGCGAAAAGAACCCCGGCGAGGGGAGUGAAAAAGAACCUGAAACCGUGUACGUACAAGCAGUGGGAGCACCCUUUGGGGUGUGACUGCGUACCUUUUGUAUAAUGGGUCAGCGACUUAUAUUCUGUAGCAAGGUUAACCGAAUAGGGGAGCCGGAGGGAAACCGAGUCUUAAUUGGGCGUUAAGUUGCAGGGUAUAGACCCGAAACCCGGUGAUCUAGCCAUGGGCAGGUUGAAGGUUGGGUAACACUAACUGGAGGACCGAACCGACUAAUGUUGAAAAAUUAGCGGAUGACCUGUGGCUGGGGGUGAAAGGCCAAUCAAACCGGGAGAUAGCUGGUUCUCCCCGAAAGCUAUUUAGGUAGCGCCUCGUGAAUUCAUCUCCGGGGGUAGAGCACUGUUUCGGCUAGGGGGCCAUCCCGGCUUACCAACCCGAUGCAAACUGCGAAUACCGGAGAAUGUUAUCACGGGAGACACACGGCGGGUGCUAACGUCCGUCGUGAAGAGGGAAACAACCCAGACCGCCAGCUAAGGUCCCAAAGUCAUGGUUAAGUGGGAAACGAUGUGGGAAGGCCCAGACAGCCAGGAUGUUGGCUUAGAAGCAGCCAUCAUUUAAAGAAAGCGUAAUAGCUCACUGGUCGAGUCGGCCUGCGCGGAAGAUGUAACGGGGCUAAACCAUGCACCGAAGCUGCGGCAGCGACGCUGAUGCGUUGUUGGGUAGGGGAGCGUUCUGUAAGCCUGCGAAGGUGUGUCGUGAGGCAUGCUGGAGGUAUCAGAAGUGCGAAUGCUGACAUAAGUAACGAUAAAGCGGGUGAAAAGCCCGCUCGCCGGAAGACCAAGGGUUCCUGUCCAACGUUAAUCGGGGCAGGGUGAGUCGACCCCUAAGGCGAGGCCGAAAGGCGUAGUCGAUGGGAAACGGGUUAAUAUUCCCGUACUUGGUGUUACUGCGAAGGGGGGACGGAGAAGGCUAUGUUGGCCGGGCGACGGUUGUCCCGGUUUAAGCGUGUAGGUGUGUGUUCCAGGUAAAUCCGGUUCACUUUAACACUGAGGCGUGAUGACGAGGCACUACGGUGCUGAAGCAACAAAUGCCCUGCUUCCAGGAAAAGCCUCUAAGCAUCAGGUAACAUCAAAUCGUACCCCAAACCGACACAGGUGGUCAGGUAGAGAAUACCAAGGCGCUUGAGAGAACUCGGGUGAAGGAACUAGGCAAAAUGGUGCCGUAACUUCGGGAGAAGGCACGCUGACACGUAGGUGAAGUGAUUUACUCAUGGAGCUGAAGUCAGUCGAAGAUACCAGCUGGCUGCAACUGUUUAUUAAAAACACAGCACUGUGCAAACACGAAAGUGGACGUAUACGGUGUGACGCCUGCCCGGUGCCGGAAGGUUAAUUGAUGGGGUCAGCGCAAGCGAAGCUCCUGAUCGAAGCCCCGGUAAACGGCGGCCGUAACUAUAACGGUCCUAAGGUAGCGAAAUUCCUUGUCGGGUAAGUUCCGACCUGCACGAAUGGCGUAAUGAUGGCCAGGCUGUCUCCACCCGAGACUCAGUGAAAUUGAACUCGCUGUGAAGAUGCAGUGUACCCGCGGCAAGACGGAAAGACCCCGUGAACCUUUACUAUAGCUUGACACUGAACAUUGAGCCUUGAUGUGUAGGAUAGGUGGGAGGCUUUGAAGUGUGGACGCCAGUCUGCAUGGAGCCGGCCUUGAAAUACCACCCUUUAAUGUUUGAUGUUCUAACGUGGACCCGUGAUCCGGGUUGCGGACAGUGUCUGGUGGGUAGUUUGACUGGGGCGGUCUCCUCCUAAAGAGUAACGGAGGAGCACGAAGGUUGGCUAAUCCUGGUCGGACAUCAGGAGGUUAGUGCAAUGGCAUAAGCCAGCUUGACUGCGAGCGUGACGGCGCGAGCAGGUGCGAAAGCAGGUCAUAGUGAUCCGGUGGUUCUGAAUGGAAGGGCCAUCGCUCAACGGAUAAAAGGUACUCCGGGGAUAACAGGCUGAUACCGCCCAAGAGUUCAUAUCGACGGCGGUGUUUGGCACCUCGAUGUCGGCUCAUCACAUCCUGGGGCUGAAGUAGGUCCCAAGGGUAUGGCUGUUCGCCAUUUAAAGUGGUACGCGAGCUGGGUUUAGAACGUCGUGAGACAGUUCGGUCCCUAUCUGCCGUGGGCGCUGGAGAACUGAGGGGGGCUGCUCCUAGUACGAGAGGACCGGAGUGGACGCAUCACUGGUGUUCGGGUUGUCAUGCCAAUGGCACUGCCCGGUAGCUAAAUGCGGAAGAGAUAAGUGCUGAAAGCAUCUAAGCACGAAACUUGCCCCGAGAUGAGUUCUCCCUGAGACUUAGAGUCUCCUGAAGGAACGUUGAAGACGACGACGUUGAUAGGCCGGGUGUGUAAGCGCAGCGAUGCGUUGAGCUAACCGGUACUAAUGAACCGUGAGGCUUAACCUU